This is a long non-coding RNA of Panicum hallii, 1155 nucleotides long. RefSeq lists it as uncharacterized. The transcript has 2 exons. The record is from RefSeq and is a predicted model, not a curated record. NCBI's taxonomy places the organism in Eukaryota, Viridiplantae, Streptophyta, Magnoliopsida, Poales, Poaceae.
GGAGCCCCAUCGAUUCCAUCGGAUUUGAGGCCCCGCCAUUGAGGCGGUUCGCCUGAAUCGGCCAAUUCGAUGCGAAUUUGCAUGUUCCAGAUGCGCAAAGAGCAGAGGCCCAUGGAUCUAGGUUGCUCCUUAUGAUCUGGUGAUGGUGGUGCGCCGAGGCGCCGGAGCUCGGCAAGGAGGAGGGAUCGGCAGUGGCAGCGUGGAAGAUAAGCGAGCCGGCUAUGCAUGGGUGGUGCGGCGAUGAGGGGUGCGACGGUAGGAGGCGGUGUCUCGUUCAGCUCAUGUGGCCAGUUGCACGCGUAGAGGCAGAAGCUCCACCAUCACCGGCACAAGGACCAACUACUUCUCCUUCCCAUUCAUCUAUUCUGCCGCCUUAGACGACUUCUUAUCCCAAGCAGCGGCGGCUGCACGGGAGAAGGAGCGCGUUGAUUCUUCCCGCCUAGUGUCACUUGGCUCCUUUAUAAAGGUGAAAUCGGGAUGCCUUUACUAUCCCUGGUAAAGUUGAAGAUGGUUGCAGAUAAUGAUGGCCCUGAUGAAUCUGCAUUUGGCAGCCAAUGUAGCUUAACUGUUUCCAGUAGAAAUUCAAGAUCGACCCUUGCUAGGGAAUCUUCAUUGUCUGCUGCUGAUAAACAAGACCAGGGUUUUGUUAAAGUCAACUAAUCACAAGCAGCUUUUGUGUGUAUCUGACCACCCAAGAGCCUUUGAUAGACACGACAUUAUCGCUGGCAAGACUGGAGAUGUGAAAAAGGCUGAUGCUGUUGGAGAUAGUAGCGCAAUGUAGAAAGAGGAUGAAAAGAUGGGACAUGCUUCUUCUAAUUUGGCUGAUGUUCGCAAACUAUCUGUAGCAGCAGCAUCCCCACUUGGUGUGGCUAAUGUGAGUAAGAAGAAGAAAGAAUCAAAAGUCGGUUCCAGUGAAUCCAAUACUAAUGUAAAAUUUGAAGGUAUCAAAUCUCCACAAAGUGAGCAUAGUGCAAAGUAGUGUUAAAAAAAAUGAUGGCAGUGUGAGUGUAAAAGAGGAUAACGUCAGGCCUAGCAUAGCAGCAAGUCUCGGUCAAAUGCAUGUGACCCAUGGGCUUUGAAUUGAGUUGGGCUGAGCCUAAUAUUGUAACCGAAUAGAUACUUCUAGCUUGCUGUUGUGGCCAUCAACGAAAGAAA